UACGGAUGCCUCGAUGAGUUUUGAUGUCA
Molecule: non-coding RNA, 29 nt
Filed under: Mus musculus (house mouse)
Lineage: Eukaryota; Metazoa; Chordata; Mammalia; Rodentia; Muridae
Source: RNAcentral